AGCUCCAAUAGCGUAUAUUAAAGUUGUUGCAGUUAAAAAGCUCGUAGUUGGAUUUUGGGUUUGGUUUUAGUUCGGUUUACUUAUUGUAAUACUGUCUAGGCCGCCCUUCUUCUCGAGGCCUCUGGGUGCACUUAACCGUGUGUUCAGAGUGUUCGGGACUUUUACCGUGAGAAAAUUAGAGUGUUCAAAGCAGGCUUUUGCUUGAAUAUUGCAGCAUGGAAUAAUGGAAUAGGAUCAUGAUCUUAUUUUGUUGGUUUCUAAGAUCAAGAUAAUGAUUAAUAGGGAUAGUUGGGGGCAUUAAUAUUUAGUUGUCAGAGGUGAAAUUCUUAGAUUUACAAAAGAUUAACUUCUGCGAAAGCAUUUGCCAAGGAUGUUUUCG
Molecule: ribosomal RNA, 379 nt
Filed under: uncultured eukaryote
Lineage: Eukaryota
Description: SSU rRNA
Rfam family: Eukaryotic small subunit ribosomal RNA
Source: RNAcentral